GCUCCACCAGCAGCAACAGCAGCGCCACGCCGCGACCGAAAGACGACCCGCGCCAAACCACGCGCCCUCCGCGCACUGGAGCACGGGCCCAUCGACACGAGGUUCUCUCCGCGCACGAAGGGACUCCAGCGCGGGCGUGAAGGCGUGCGAUGCGAGCGACGUGCGGCAGCGCGGGCCGCAACCCCGGGCGCCGGAAAGCGGCAUCGGAGGAAAGGAGGCGCACCGCGAGCGAAGGAGACAGCGAUGUGGGCGAGGACCGGCAACAAAGCGGCACGCGUCGAGCAGCACACGCAUCGUGGUCUGCCGCUAAGAUACGCACGCACAAGACCAGGAUCAAAGACCGACAUCGAUGGCAAUUCACAGGCUGUGACCAAAUAUGGAAGGAUGGGUGAAUCACUCAAGGCGUCACAAAGGAACUGGCGACUCGGCCACGAGAUGACACAACGCGCUCCCGAGAAUGACGUCACCACGUCACCUGGGGCUACACUAUAGCAAGCCCGCACUCAGCUGUACUGCCGUCAAACUCACGAUCGAUAAUCGGUGAGCACGCCUACUCAAACAUAAGGGUCCAUCAGUUCAAGUCAAGGCAGUUUCCAAGAGUACUUGAGUGUAGAAGAAAACCAUUUGAGAUAGUGGAACCCCUUGUCGACAGUCACUAGAGCUACGAAGCUUGGAGGUCUUCAGACAUCUACACGCAGGAAACAGCCAAAACGGCUGUUCUCGGAACGUUUUCUGGAGUUCGAGUUGACCAAGACUUUCGGAGACAAAGAUCAGUCAAUCAAGAGUAACUGCGCUUGACCACUCCGACCAGUCACGAAGGAGGGUUCAGAGCUUACCUGUCCCGGAUCACGAGAGGGUCACGGCGCACCAGAACAUUCACAACGCCAUCACGAGCUACAACCAAGGGUCUCAGAAGACUUCGCUGCUCACUCCUUGUAAAGACGCUCGCUUAGUUAGGGGGCCCAGUUUACGAACUCUCCGCAGUCAUCAGUCGAGAAGGAUAAGCAAACUGAACAUUGCUGCCUUCGUACGAGUUGGCGACGUUUUGACAAGGUUCUUCUACACCGCAACAGCGCAGUUCUCAGGAAGGGCAUGCAAGAAGUUGGUUCUAAGUCGCACCGGUGUUCCCUGUCGGCCACUAUACUCAGAGAGUGACCUCGACCGUACACACUGACUUUAAAGAAGCACAGUCUUCAGUACGAGCUCGGAAGACAGCAAGGAACUGCACAUCAAUGACGGUUCUCAUAACAGUGCAAUUUUCAAGAGGACUUUCAUCCCCUAGUGCCGGGAAUGCCAAGUUUCGAUGGCUGACGCGUGAGCAGAAGACACGGGAGAACACACAGCAGAGCCCGUCACGAAAUCCUGCAUCCAGGACAACGUCGCUGCAGGCGCCAACAUACCGCCAUCUACGUGGCGUACCGGUGACCUCGUGCCGUCCACGGGGGAAUCUGGCUGCGCAUCACGAAAAGCCGUCUGGUGCCAUAUUCUCGCAAACACAGUGCCAGGCACAUAAUCAACGAAGAAAGGCGACGUUUCGGAUCGCGCCAUCGCUCGUGGCCCCCACAUCGAGGCAGGUACGCAUCGCACUCGACCCCUGCCGCAACGCCGGGAAAGUGCCGUGACUCGGACCAGGGAGUGACGUCAAACCGCCCAACAGGGAUACCAGAUCCACGCCGGCGCAAAAGCAGCCGCCCACGACGUCGCAGCCGUUGGCGAAGCAGACGACGUAGAUUGACCGAUGGCGAUGCUGAAGCGCGGUAAAACGUCGAGCAAAACUAGGAUUCCCCUCCUCCACCUCCCUUCUACUACUUUGGCCUCGCCAAUAUAUAGCGUAGCGCGGCCAAUUUCGAUCCAAUAACCCACUUUCUAUAAAUAAUGCGUGCGAAGAAAAAUAAACACGACGUUAGCUGA
RNAcentral lists this long non-coding RNA (1911 nucleotides) under Dermacentor andersoni. Its description in RNAcentral is "uncharacterized LOC126527125". The record is from RNAcentral. Lineage: Eukaryota; Metazoa; Arthropoda; Arachnida; Ixodida; Ixodidae.